AAGGUACUCCCUCCGUUCCAAAAUUCUUGUCUUAAAUUCGCUUAGAUACGGAUGUAUCUAAUACUAAAACAUGACUUCAUACAUCCGUAUUUAGACAGAUUUAAGACAAGAAUUUUGGGACGGAGGGAGUAUUAC
This is a non-coding RNA of Triticum aestivum (bread wheat), 135 nucleotides long. Lineage: Eukaryota; Viridiplantae; Streptophyta; Magnoliopsida; Poales; Poaceae. The record is from Rfam.